GCGCCCAGAGGCCCAACAGAUCGGACCCGCAACCGCCAGCCAAAGAGUCGCAGGCCGUGCCGAGACAGCACCGCCCCGAACCCCUCAAGCGACACGCGAGCACAGUACCCCCACAGGGACCGAGAGACGCCCGAGAUGCAUACGCGACCCAGCAGAGACCCACGGGGCAAGGCCAACCCUAGGAAGUUAACCAGGCAUAAAUUGGCGUCAAAUUAACCAUUCAUGUAAAUAGAAAGUAAAUCCUACGGAGUUAAAGAUUGUAAGGUGUUUCUGAUGCGCCCCGCUCAGUCCCGCCGACAGCAGCUGAGUUCCUGGGUAAAGACAAAAGUUAAUUACACCAUUCCAAGAACGUAAGCAGCAAUAUAAUUUAGAGUAAUGUGGUGACUCCCUCUAACGCGCCGAGUCAGUUUACUAAGUUUAAGUUAAGGGAGUUAAUAUAUGGUGACCAUGUUUGUAUAAAAUUUGACAACUGAUUUUUAUUUGAAGCAGAAAUUUUCUCCAUUGAAAUAUGAUUUACCAGAAGGUUCAACCAAAGAUUGAUGUUCAGAGUCUGCUUAUUUUUCGUUUUUUUGGCGAUUGCGAGGGAUACUAGUAUGGAUUAAGAUUGUUUACAUGGCAAGUCAAUUGUUGUUAAGUCUCCGAGUAAACAGACUUGGGGAUGAAGAAAACCUGCAGCCCAGGAUCUCGGAAAGCUUUUCUAGGACGUUAGUCCAGAAAUUUCUAACGGGAGUACACAACCACAAAGCAUGUAAAUAGGUGUCGGCAGUGUUCUGGGAGCACUGGAGACAAAUAUCUGAAUCUGAGAGUCCCAUUUUCUUCAUCCUGUAUUGAGUAAUAUGUAUUCUGUGAAGGAUUUUAUAUUGAACGAGUUGUAGGUUUGUGUGUUUUGUCAUUUUAAAUGUAUUGACACAAGUUUCAGUCCAAAAAUCUGGUUCCGGAAUUAUAGACAAAUCUGUCUCCCAUUUAGAGGUCGGUAUAUGUAUUGUAUCCAUGUUUGAAAGUAGCUUAUAUAUUUUAGAGAGGGUUUUAGUUGCCUGAGAGAUUUUUAUAGUAUCUUUGGGUAAUGUAGGUGGCUGGAGCGUGCCUUCAAGUGUUGGGAUUUUUGUUUUAACCAUAUUUUUAACUUGCAGGUAGUGUAGAAAAUUCCUGUUUUUGAUUUAAUAUUUUUGAAAGGUUUGCAUAUGACAUGAACGUAUUAUCUGAAAAGAGGUGGUGAAGGUGAGUAAUCCCAUUCUGCUCCCACAUAUUUAGAUAAAGCGGAUGAUUGUUAACCUGAAAAUCAGGGUUAUGCCAGAUGGGAGAUAACCCACAAGGCUCCAAUUUGAAAUUUGUAAUUUCUAGUGCCUUCCACCAAGCGGUUAAAGUUGAGGAAAUCCUUGGGUUUUUAAAACAGUUGUGACGUUUGAUGGAUGUUGUAAUAAAGGGUAUGUCUGAAAGUCUGA
Molecule: long non-coding RNA, 1442 nt
Organism: Salarias fasciatus (jewelled blenny)
Lineage: Eukaryota; Metazoa; Chordata; Actinopteri; Blenniiformes; Blenniidae
Exons: 2
Source: RefSeq, a predicted model, not a curated record